This 492-nucleotide ribosomal RNA is filed under the name uncultured bacterium. Its description in RNAcentral is "partial 16S ribosomal RNA". It matches the Rfam family "Bacterial small subunit ribosomal RNA", at positions 29 to 507 of the family's 1533-position model. The record is from RNAcentral.
AGUGAACGCUGGCGGUAGGCCUAACACAUGCAAGUCGAACGGCAGCACAGUAAGAGCUUGCUCUUACGGGUGGCGAGUGGCGGACGGGUGAGGAAUACAUCGGAAUCUACUUUUUCGGGGGGGAUAACGUAGGGAAACUUACGCUAAUACCGCAUACGACCUACGGGUGAAAGCAGGGGAUCUUCGGACCUUGCGCGAUUGAAUGAGCCGAUGUCGGAUUAGCUAGUUGGCGGGGUAAAGGCCCACCAAGGCGACGAUCCGUAGCUGGUCUGAGAGGAUGAUCAGCCACCCUGGAACUGGGCCACGGUCCAUACUCCUACGGGAGGCAGCAGUGGGCAAUGUUGGACAAUGGGCGCAAGCCUGAUCCAGCCAUCCCGCGUGGGUGAAGAAGGCCUUCGGGUUGUAAAGCCCUUUUGUUGGGAAAGAAAAGCAGCAGGUUAAUACCCCGCUGUUCUGACGGUACCCAAAGAAUAAGCACCGGCUAACUUCGUG